This is a non-coding RNA of Acanthosepion pharaonis, 114 nucleotides long. The record is from the annotation of a GenBank genome assembly. NCBI's taxonomy places the organism in Eukaryota, Metazoa, Mollusca, Cephalopoda, Sepiida, Sepiidae.
UUACGUCCACAUCAGGUCGAAACACUGGUUCUCAUACGAUCACGUAACUUAAGCAACGUCGAGCUUGGUCAAUACCUAGAUGAGUGACCAUUUGGGAAUACCAGGUGAUGCAAG